Molecule: long non-coding RNA, 1019 nt
Organism: Mauremys reevesii (Reeves's turtle)
Lineage: Eukaryota; Metazoa; Chordata; Testudines; Geoemydidae
Exons: 5
Source: RefSeq, a predicted model, not a curated record
UGAGUAAUAAUAAAUAAAUCUGUCAAACAUUGAUUGCAGGUUUUGCUGUGAGAUAUGAACAGACCAGGUGGCCAUUCCUACCAGGGAGAAGUGAGGCUAAGUGGCGUGGCUGUCCUGGGCAAGGAGGUAAGAAAUACCAGUCUCCAAACAUCCAUGUGUACAUGAAGUGGUGUGGAUUUUGCUUUCAGGGAGAAAAACUGUGGCUGACCUUACUUGUCAUGGGGAGAGUGUCAAAAGCAGACUCGGGACAAAUAACAUGGACUUGCCAGCUUCUCGAUCUAUUGAGGACUCCAGUGACAAGAUGCUGUUAUUUUAAGAUUGAAGGAGACCAGAGGGCUGUUGUGUUCGAAAAGGAAUUAAUGCAAAUCCAACUAGCUGAACCAGGCAGAUGAGAGAAAUGCAGCCGAUUUGAACGUUGAGGUUGUGAAAACUUCAGGAAGUUGCUAGAAGAUCUGGGAUAUCUACAGAAAGGAAACAAGCAAAAUUCAUCACUGCUACCAAGAGGAGGAGAGUUACAGGUGCUCAGGAUUUGAGUAGAAAGGAACAGGGACGGAGCUGAACAGAUCCAACACCUUAAAGGACAAUUGGAUCUCAAAAUAUGAAAGACCCCUCAUUCAAUAAAGCAACAGGAUUGGCUCUGAGGAGCGGUAAGCAACAAUUGAUGAAGGAAACAGGCAGCGUGGACAGUAUUCAAGACACAAUGUUUAAAAGUUGCUGCUGGGAUGGAAGCAAAGAAGAAAGCCCUGGAGACGGGUUAGUGCUGGGACACAGGCACUAUCCUGGAGGGGCCUGGGACAGGGUGUGUAACCAUAGCGACCAGAGGGUCCUUUCCCCUCUGUGGUCCUGGCUCGCAUGCACAGGGUGAAACCGAUCGCCAUGUUUGGGGUCAGGAAGGAAUUUUCCUCCAGGGCAGAUUGGCCAGAGACCCUGGAGGUUUUUCGCCUUCCUCUGGGGCAUCGAGCAGGGACCAGCCCUUAGGGCCAUUUAGGAACAGACAUAAUAAAAUCAAUCAGAGAGAA